AGGACGAACGCUGGCGGCGUGCUUAACACAUGCAAGUCGAGCGGAAAGGCCCUUCGGGGUACUCGAGCGGCGAACGGGUGAGUAACACGUGAGCAACCUGCCCCUGGCUCUGGGAUAGCCUCCGGAAACGGGGAUUAAUACCGGACAUUCACUUCCUUCCGCAUGGUUGGUGGUGGAAAGUUUUUCGGCCGGGGAGGGGCUCGCGGUCUAUCAGCUUGUUGGCGGGGUAACGGCCCACCAAGGCGACGACGGAUAGCCGGCCUGAGAGGGCGAUCGGCCACACUGGGACUGAGACACGGCCCAGACUCCUACGGGAGGCAGCAGUGGGGAAUAUUGCACAAUGGGCGCAAGCCUGAUGCAGCGACGCCGCGUGGGGGAUGAAGGCCUUCGGGUUGUAAACCCCUUUCUACCAGGAGCGAAUUCAGACGGUACCUGGGGAAGAAGCGCCGGCUAACUACGCGCCAGCAGCCGC
Molecule: ribosomal RNA, 472 nt
Filed under: uncultured bacterium
Lineage: Bacteria
Description: SSU rRNA
Rfam family: Bacterial small subunit ribosomal RNA
Source: RNAcentral